UUUGAAUUUAAUUUGCAUUUGAUGUGACAUGGACACUUUUUGUUCAACCAUUUCAUACUUGACAAGAUAGCUGUUGCAUGCUCUUGUGAAGACAUUUUUACUUUCGUGAAACCUUAAAACUUGUAUUGUUCAUAUUCAUGUAAGGUUUACGAGACUUUAAUUUGUUUGUGUACAAAUAAUGGAGUGGCUACUGUUUUUUUGUUGAGGGAACUGAUUAGCAUUUGCUCUUCUUCUUCUUCUUCUUCUUCUUCGUCUAGACUCAUCUUCAUAUAAUUCCUCGGAAGGCACGUGAUUGCUUGUGGAGCUCUGAGAGUUUGCCUAGGUGUCCUCUAAAAUUAGACCAGGAAACUUCAGGACUCGCUGAUCGAAUUCGCAAAGAAUUAUUAUUCUCAGACAACUCCGAAUAUAGCAAGGGCCAAGGAUCUAGUCUCUUCGCAAACUAGUGUUGUUAUCACAUGUACCCAUUUGUACAAUAUGUAUAAUUAUAUAGCCCAUUCUUUCAUGGAGUAUACUUGUGGAAUGAGUUAUAUUUACUGUGAUGAUAAUAUAUUUCCAUGUUCAGAAAAUUUCUUCAGCUGAGACUCAGAGAGAGUUGCUUGGGGUUGUGUUGUACCAUUAUCAGUACGGGUUACAUGGUUAACAUUGAAGACAUUCUUUUUAAAUUCAA
This is a non-coding RNA of Camellia sinensis, 667 nucleotides long. Lineage: Eukaryota; Viridiplantae; Streptophyta; Magnoliopsida; Ericales; Theaceae. The record is from RefSeq and is a predicted model, not a curated record.